RNAcentral lists this ribosomal RNA (650 nucleotides) under uncultured archaeon. RNAcentral's name for it is "bacterial SSU rRNA". It matches the Rfam family "Archaeal small subunit ribosomal RNA", at positions 657 to 1308 of the family's 1478-position model. The record is from RNAcentral.
CCACCUGUGGCGAAGGCGCCCGGCUGGAACGGGUCCGACGGUGAGGGACGAAGGCCGGGGGAGCAAACCGGAUUAGAUACCCGGGUAGUCCCGGCUGUAAACUCUGCGGACUAGGUGUCGCGUCGGCUUCGGGCCGGCGCGGUGCCGAAGGGAAGCCGUUAAGUCCGCCGCCUGGGGAGUACGGUCGCAAGACUGAAACUUAAAGGAAUUGGCGGGGGAGCACUACAACGGGUGGAGCCUGCGGUUUAAUUGGAUUCAACGCCGGGCAUCUUACCAGGGGCGACGGCAGGAUGAAGGCCAGGUUGACGACCUUGCCAGACGCGCCGAGAGGUGGUGCAUGGCCGUCGUCAGCUCGUACCGUGAGGCGUCCUGUUAAGUCAGGUAACGAGCGAGACCCGUGCCCCAUGUUGCCAUCCCCUCCUCCGGGAGGGGGGCACUCAUGGGGGCCCGCCGGCGAAAAGUCGGAGGAAGGUGCGGGCAACGACAGGUCCGCAUGCCCCGAAUCCCCUGGGCUACACGCGGGCUACAAUGGCCGGGACAAUGGGAUGCGACCCCGAAAGGGGGAGCAAAUCCCCUAAACCCGGUCGUAGUCCGGAUCGAGGGCUGUAACUCGCCCUCGUGAAGCCGGAAUCCGUAGAAUCGCGCUACCU